ACUAAAAAUGCUUCGACUUGUGACAGCACUUUGCGUUCUGCUCAGGAUACCAAAUAUUUGCAGUGCCAUCUCAGUAAAACAGCUACCGAGGUUUAUGGUUAAAAAGCCUGGAGACCCCGCUGUGUUCUCCUGCGUGCAUGAUGGGGACAUUAGCUAUGGGAACAUCUACUGGUAUCAACAGCUUAGGGGUCGUGGUGGGCUGCAACUCAUGACCUACUCCUACACCAACAGCGGACCCCAGGAUGAAAAGGAGUUCAAAGGAAGACUGACCACCAGCAGAGACGGUGCACAGAAAGGCAACAUCACAAUCAACAGCCUAGACGUUACCGACACUGGAAUGUAUUUCUGUGCAGCAAGUGAUGCACAGCGAGGCAGCUCCCCUAGAAACCUAACAGAAAACUCCCCGCUGAUGCUGCUAGUAAAUAAGUUUGUGCCCCAUGCCAAAUAUCUUACAAGCACAAGAACAUACCGAGCUGCCGUACCUCUCAAAUAUCCCUGA
This is a non-coding RNA of Protopterus annectens (West African lungfish), 499 nucleotides long. Lineage: Eukaryota; Metazoa; Chordata; Ceratodontiformes; Protopteridae. The record is from the annotation of a RefSeq genome assembly.